GACGAACGCUGGCGGCGUGCUUAACACAUGCAAGUCGAACGGUGAAGCGCCUUCCUUUUUGGUGGGUGUGGAUGAGUGGCGAACGGGUGAGUAACACGUGAGUAACCUGCCCCCUUCUCCUGGAUAACCGCAUGAAAGUGUGGCUAAUACGGGAUAUUCUGGGUCUGUCGCAUGAUGGGUCUGGGAAAGAUAUUGUUUCGGUGGGGGAUGGGCUCGCGGCCUAUCAGCUUGUUGGUGGGGUGAUGGCCUACCAAGGCGGUGACGGGUAGCCGGCCUGAGAGGGUGGACGGUCACACUGGGACGGAGACACGGCCCAGACUCCUACGGGAGGCAGCAGUGGGGAAUAUUGCACAAUGGGCGCAAGCCUGAUGCAGCGACGCCGCGUGAGGGAUGGAGGCCUUCGGGUUGUGAACCUCUUUCGCCAGUGAAGCAGGCCUGCCUCGUUUGUGGGUGGGUUGACGGUAGCUGGAUAAGAAGCGCCGGCCAACUACGUG
This 494-nucleotide ribosomal RNA is filed under the name uncultured bacterium. RNAcentral's name for it is "partial 16S ribosomal RNA". It matches the Rfam family "Bacterial small subunit ribosomal RNA", at positions 28 to 507 of the family's 1533-position model. The record is from RNAcentral.